Molecule: ribosomal RNA, 117 nt
Filed under: Oscillospiraceae bacterium
Lineage: Bacteria; Bacillati; Bacillota; Clostridia; Eubacteriales; Oscillospiraceae
Also listed under: 1 other name
Source: RNAcentral
GUUGGUGUUGAUUGCGGCGAGGGUCCACCCGUUCCCAUACCGAACACGGAAGUUAAGCUCGCUUGCGCUGAAAAUACUCGGCGGGAAGCUGCCCGGAAAGAUAAGUAGAUGCCAACA